RNAcentral lists this ribosomal RNA (466 nucleotides) under Nothophoma quercina. RNAcentral describes it as "eukaryotic LSU rRNA". The stretch from base 114 to 267 matches the Rfam family "5.8S ribosomal RNA". Lineage: Eukaryota; Fungi; Ascomycota; Dothideomycetes; Pleosporales; Didymellaceae. The record is from RNAcentral.
CUCUUACCCAUGUCUUUUAAGUACCUUACGUUUCCUCGGCGGGUCCGCCCGCCGAUUGGACAAUUUAAACCAUUUGCAGUUGCAAUCAGCGUCUGAAAAAACUUAAUAGUUACAACUUUCAACAACGGAUCUCUUGGUUCUGGCAUCGAUGAAGAACGCAGCGAAAUGCGAUAAGUAGUGUGAAUUGCAGAAUUCAGUGAAUCAUCGAAUCUUUGAACGCACAUUGCGCCCCUUGGUAUUCCAUGGGGCAUGCCUGUUCGAGCGUCAUUUGUACCUUCAAGCUCUGCUUGGUGUUGGGUGUUUGUCUCGCCUCUGCGUGUAGACUCGCCUCAAAACAAUUGGCAGCCGGCGUAUUGAUUUCGGAGCGCAGUACAUCUCGCGCUUUGCACUCAUAACGACGACGUCCAAAAGUACAUUUUUACACUCUUGACCUCGGAUCAGGUAGGGAUACCCGCUGAACUUAAGC